GAUGAACGCUAGCUACAGGCUUAACACAUGCAAGUCGAGGGGCAGCAUGGUCUUAGCUUGCUAAGGCCGAUGGCGACCGGCGCACGGGUGAGUAACACGUAUCCAACCUGCCGUCUACUCUUGGACAGCCUUCUGAAAGGAAGAUUAAUACAAGACGGCAUCAUGAGUCCGCAUGUUCACAUGAUUAAAGGUAUUCCGGUAGACGAUGGGGAUGCGUUCCAUUAGAUAGUAGGCGGGGUAACGGCCCACCUAGUCUUCGAUGGAUAGGGGUUCUGAGAGGAAGGUCCCCCACAUUGGAACUGAGACACGGUCCAAACUCCUACGGGAGGCAGCAGUGAGGAAUAGUGGUCAAUGGGCGAGAGCCUGAACCAGCCAAGUAGCGUGAAGGAUGACUGCCCUAUGGGUUGUAAACUUCUUUUAGAAAGGAAUAAAGUCGGGUAUGGAUACCCGUUUGCAUGUACUUUAUGAAUAAGGAUCGGCUAACUCCGUG
Molecule: ribosomal RNA, 490 nt
Filed under: uncultured bacterium
Lineage: Bacteria
Description: partial 16S ribosomal RNA
Rfam family: Bacterial small subunit ribosomal RNA
Source: RNAcentral